Non-coding RNA from Pelobates cultripes (western spadefoot toad), 202 nucleotides. Lineage: Eukaryota; Metazoa; Chordata; Amphibia; Anura; Pelobatidae. The record is from the annotation of a GenBank genome assembly.
UACAAAUAUAUGGCAUUUGAAAACAUUGUUAACUUUGUGUGUACUAGUAGAGGUACAUUAACUGAGUUAUGAGUCAAGUUGUUGCAGUCGGGGCUCCUCUCCUCCUUGGUAUGAAAGGGACAGUCCUCGUCGGGUCCCAGGUGUGUGGAGUGGUGGGUGCUUUGGGGGGCCCAGUUUCCGUAGGGAGCCCCAGAGUGUGGAG